CUUGAAACACGGACCAAGGAGUCUAACAUGUGCGCGAGUUGAAGGGUGGCAAACCCAUGGGCACAAUGAAAGUGAAGCUGGCUUUGUGUCAGUGAUACAGGAUCUGUUGGUUCUUUGUAGCUAGCAGAGCACUGUAGUCCCUUCCAAAUUGCUUGCCAAUUGGGAGGAGACAGAGCGUACACGUUGGGACCCGAAAGAUGGUGAACUAUGCAUGAGCAGGGCGAAGUCAGAGGAAACUCUGAUGGAGGCUCGAGGCGGUUCUGACGUGCAAAUCGAUCGUCAGACUUGUGUAUAGGGGCGAAAGACUAAUCGAACCAUCUAGUAGCUGGUUCUCGA
This 336-nucleotide ribosomal RNA is filed under the name Sphaerolaimus sp. MKL1. RNAcentral's name for it is "eukaryotic LSU rRNA". It matches the Rfam family "Eukaryotic large subunit ribosomal RNA", at positions 653 to 961 of the family's 3401-position model. Lineage: Eukaryota; Metazoa; Nematoda; Chromadorea; Monhysterida; Sphaerolaimidae. The record is from RNAcentral.